GACGAACGCUGGCGGCGUGCUUAACACAUGCAAGUCGAACGGAAAGGCCCUGCUUUUGUGGGGUGCUCGAGUGGCGAACGGGUGAGUAACACGUGAGUAACCUGCCCUGGACUUUGGGAUAACUUCAGGAAACUGGGGCUAAUACCGGAUAGGAGCUCGUGCUGCAUGGUGGGGGGGGGAAAGUUUCGGCGGUUGGGGAUGGACUCGGGGCUUAUCAGCUUGUGGGUGGGGUAGUGGCUUACCAAGGCUUUGACGGGUAGCCGGCCUGAGAGGGUGACGGGCCACAUGGGGACGGAGAUACGGCCCAGACCCCUACGGGAGGCAGCAGUGGGGAAUAUGGCACAAUGGGCGGAAGCCUGAUGCAGCAACGCCGCGUGCGGGAGGACGGCCUUCGGGUUGUAAACCGCUUUCGCCUGUGACGAAGCGUGAGUGACGGUAAUGGUAAAGAAGCACCGGCUAACUACGUG
Molecule: ribosomal RNA, 467 nt
Filed under: uncultured bacterium
Lineage: Bacteria
Description: partial 16S ribosomal RNA
Rfam family: Bacterial small subunit ribosomal RNA
Source: RNAcentral